AUAAGCAAAGUAAGGGCGUAUGGGGAAUGCCUAGGCUCUCAGAGACGACGAAGGACGUGAUAAGCUGCGAUAAGUUGCGGGGAUUGGCACAUACAAAUUGAUCCGCAAAUUUCCGAAUGGGGCAACCCAGCUAGUUGAAGACUAGUUACUCCGCAAGGAGGGUAAACCCGGAGAACUGAAACAUCUAAGUACCCGGAGGAAGAGAAAACAAUAGUGAUUUCGAUAGUAGCGGCGAGCGAAAUCGAAUUAGUCCAAACCAGUGUUGUUACGGCAAUACUGGGGUUGUAGGACCACAAUAUUUGAUGCACAAUGAAUUAGAACACUUUGGAAAGAGUGGCCAUAGACGGUGAUAGCCCGGUAUAAGUAAAGAGUGUUAUUGAUAGUGGUAUCCUGAGUAGUGCGGGGCACGUGAAACCCUGUAUGAAUCCGGCGGGACCAUCCGCCAAGACUAAAUACUCCUGAGAGACCGAUAGUGAACUAGUACCGUGAGGGAAAGGUGAAAAGAACCCUGAAUAAGGGAGUGAAAUAGAUCCUGAAACCAUACGCUUACAAGCGGUCGGAGCCAAUUUAUUGGUGACGGCGUGCCUUUUGCAUAAUGAGCCUACGAGUUACUGUUACUAGCAAGGUUAAAUUUUUAAGAAAUGGAGCCGUAGCGAAAGCGAGUCUGAAUAGGGCGACCAUAGUUAGUAGUAGUAGACGCGAAACCGUGUGAUCUACCCAUGGGCAGGGUGAAGCUUUGUUAAUCCAAAGUGGAGGCCCGAACCGAUAUACGUUGAAAAGUGUUCGGAUGACCUGUGGGUAGGGGUGAAAGGCCAAUCAAACUCGGAAAUAGCUCGUACUCCCCGAAAUGCAUUUAGGUGCAGCGUAUACAUAGUUUUAUAGAGGUAGAGCUACUGAUUGGAUGCGGGGGCUUCACCGCCUACCAAUUCCUGACAAACUCCGAAUGCUAUAAAAUGUUUGUAUGCAGUGAGGGCAUGGGUGCUAAGGUCCAUGUCCGAGAGGGAAAGAACCCAGACCAUCAGCUAAGGUCCCAAAAUGUAUGUUAAGUUGAAUAAACGAGGUUGGAUUGCCCAGACAGCUAGGAUGUUGGCUUGGAAGCAGCCAUUCAUUUAAAGAGUGCGUAACAGCUCACUAGUCGAGCGGUUUUGCAUGGAUAAUAAUCGGGCAUAAACAUAUUACCGAAGCUAUGGAUUUGUAUUAUAUACAAGUGGUAGGGGAGCAUUGUAAUCUGCGUAGAAGGUGUGCUGUCAGGCAUGCUGGAGUGAUUACAAAAGAAAAUGUAGGCAUAAGUAACGAUAAAGGGGGCGAGAAACCCCCUCACCGAAAGACUAAGGUUUCCUCAGCGAUGCUAAUCAGCUGAGGGUUAGUCGGGUCCUAAGGCGAAUCCGAAGGGAGUAGUCGAUGGAUAACAGGUUAAUAUUCCUGUACUUCUUAUAAUUGCGAUGGGGUGACGGAGUAUUGAAAGCACCGCGAACUGACGGAAUAGUUCGUUAAAGUAUGUAGCUAUAGAACCAGAUUAAGAGUUAGGUUUUGGCAAAGUACGAUAGUACCACAAAGCUUCGGCAGCGUGGAUAGUGUGCCUAAAAGCUUCCAAGAAAAACCUCUAAGCUUCAGAUUAUAAGAACCCGUACCGUAAACCGACACAGGUAGUUGGGAUGAGAAUUCUAAGGUGCUCGAGAGAUUCAUGGCUAAGGAACUAGGCAAAAUCGACCCGUAACUUCGGGAGAAGGGUCGCCCAUCUUCGGAUGGGCCGCAGUGAAAAGAUCCAGGCGACUGUUUAUCAAAAACACAGGGCUAUGCUAAAUCGAAAGAUGACGUAUAUGGCCUGACACCUGCCCGGUGCCGGAAGGUUAAGAGGAGGGGUUAGCUUCGGCGAAGCUCUGAAUUGAAGCCCCGGUAAACGGCGGCCGUAACUAUAACGGUCCUAAGGUAGCGAAAUUCCUUGUCGGGU
This 1951-nucleotide ribosomal RNA is filed under the name seawater metagenome. RNAcentral's name for it is "bacterial LSU rRNA". It matches the Rfam family "Bacterial large subunit ribosomal RNA", at positions 1 to 1977 of the family's 2925-position model. The record is from RNAcentral.